UAAGGAAUAUUGGGCAAUGGACGCAAGUCUGACCCAGCCAUGCCGCGUGGAGGAUGAAGGUCCUCUGGAUUGUAAACUUCUUUUAUCUGGGAAGAAACCCAUCUUUUCUUGGGUGGUUGACGGUACCAGAUGAAUAAGCACCGGCUAACUCCGUGCCAGCAGCCGCGGUAAUACGGAGGGUGCAAGCGUUAUCCGGAUUCACUGGGUUUAAAGGGUGCGUAGGUGGGCAGGUAAGUCAGUGGUGAAAUCCUGUAGCUUAACUACAGAACUGCCAUUGAUACUAUUUGUCUUGAAUACCCUGGAGGUGAGCGGAAUAUGUCAUGUAGCGGUGAAAUGCUUAGAUAUGACAUAGAACAUCUAUUGCGAAGGCAGCUCACUACGGGAAUAUUGACGCUGAGGCACGAAAGCGUGGGGAUCAAACAGGAUUAGAUACCCCGGUAGUCC
RNAcentral lists this ribosomal RNA (444 nucleotides) under uncultured bacterium. RNAcentral describes it as "bacterial SSU rRNA". It matches the Rfam family "Bacterial small subunit ribosomal RNA", at positions 355 to 796 of the family's 1533-position model. The record is from RNAcentral.